AUGACGAAUAUCACCGAAAGUUCCGGGUACAUGUUCAUGGCCGCCGUCAUAGUGUCCUUAAUAUUUUGGACCGAUUGGCAAGUCUCGCUCACCACCGCUAUCAUGUUCUCCUACUCAACGGGGAUGAUCCUCCUGCUUCUCAAACAUUGGGACAACAAGGAAGACCAACCAGCACGGCGAUGCCAUGAAAGCACAUGGGUGCAGAUGUUGGUGGUCACCGGGAUCAUGUUGGUCUCCUUGGUGUUGAUGGUCUCCAUUUUCCCUGAUAAGUGGGAUCACGUGGCCAUGAUUGUGUUCGUCUCCCUGGUGGCCGCCGCGUUUAGUUUCUUGCUUCUCAAUGUCUGGGAUGCGCAACAUGAAUGGGAACGGGCACAGGCUGCAUCGGCAGGAUUUGACGAAACGUCCACGGAUCUCGCAUAG
This 420-nucleotide ribosomal RNA is filed under the name Triticum aestivum (bread wheat). Its description in RNAcentral is "partial small subunit ribosomal RNA". The record is from RNAcentral. Lineage: Eukaryota; Viridiplantae; Streptophyta; Magnoliopsida; Poales; Poaceae.